GCUGGGCACGGUGCUGCACGCCUGUAGUCCCAGCUACUCGGGAGGCUGAGGCUGGAGGAUUGCUUGAGUCCAGGAGUUAGGGGCUGUCGUGCGCUAUGCUGAUUGGGUGUCCACACUAAGUUCAGCAUCAAUAUGGUGACCUCCCGGGAGCAGGAGGCCACCAGGUUGCCUAAGGAGGGGUGAACCAGCCCAGGUCGGAAAUGGAGCAGAUCAGAUACAUAUAGUAUUUACAUGAUAUGCAUUUUGCAUGAAUGUUUUGAAGACCCCUCCUAUGUAAAAUUUAUCCCACUGCGU
Unclassified non-coding RNA from Oryctolagus cuniculus (rabbit), 294 nucleotides. It matches the Rfam family "Metazoan signal recognition particle RNA". Rfam says of the family: The signal recognition particle (SRP) is a universally conserved ribonucleoprotein. It is involved in the co-translational targeting of proteins to membranes. Lineage: Eukaryota; Metazoa; Chordata; Mammalia; Lagomorpha; Leporidae. The record is from Ensembl.